This 344-nucleotide ribosomal RNA is filed under the name Microporus nigrita. RNAcentral describes it as "partial 12S ribosomal RNA". The record is from RNAcentral. Lineage: Eukaryota; Metazoa; Arthropoda; Insecta; Hemiptera; Cydnidae.
UAGAUACCCUAUUAUUGAUGAGUGUAAAUUACAUAUUUUAGUAUUAUAAGUUAAGGUCUUUAAAUUAAAAGGAUUUGACGGUAAUUUAGUCUUUUCAGAGGAACCUGUCUCUUAAUUGAUAAUCCACGAUAAAUUUUACCUCGAAGAAAUAUACUUGUAUACCUCUGUUAAUAAAGGAGUGUUUUAAUAGAAUGGAUUCUCUUAUACUUUUAUUAAAUUUUAUAUCAGGUCAAGGUGCAGUUGUGUCGAGGUGUUUGAUGGGUUACUUUAAUAUAAAUGGAUUUUGGAUUAAAUAAUGAAUGGAUUAUUUAUUGAAAUUGGAUUUGAUUGUAAUAUUUAUUAUA